AUUGAACGCUGGCGGCAUGCCUUACACAUGCAAGUCGAACGGCAGCGGGCCUUCGGGUGCCGGCGAGUGGCGAACGGGUGAGUAAUGCAUCGGAACGUGCCAUUGAGUGGGGGAUAACGUAGCGAAAGUUGCGCUAAUACCGCAUAUUCUGUGAGCAGGAAAGCAGGGGGAUCGCAAGACCUUGCGCUCUGGGAGCGGCCGAUGUCGGAUUAGCUAGUUGGUGGGGUAAAGGCCUACCAAGGCGACGAUCCGUAGCGGGUCUGAGAGGAUGAUCCGCCACACUGGGACUGAGACACGGCCCAGACUCCUACGGGAGGCAGCAGUGGGGAAUUUUGGACAAAUGGGCGGAAGGCCUGAUCCAGCCAUGCCGCGUGAGUGAAGAAGGCCUGGUGUAAGUACGU
This 401-nucleotide ribosomal RNA is filed under the name uncultured bacterium. RNAcentral's name for it is "bacterial SSU rRNA". It matches the Rfam family "Bacterial small subunit ribosomal RNA", at positions 29 to 430 of the family's 1533-position model. The record is from RNAcentral.